CUGUGUUUUGAAUGUUUGAUGUGCUUCACUGAUCCUAGACCAGUUUAAGAAGAACCAGCGGGAAACAUCUGUGCAGAGUCUCUGACAGUGAGAUUAAUCAUAAUGAUGAUGAUGUUGCUGACUCCCCUGCUGACCACAAUCAUGCUCAGACUUCAAGGAUCAGAUGCCAGUUCAUCUGUGACUCAGUCUCCUGUAUUUAAGGCUGCUGCUUUGGGACAGACGGUCUCUCUGAGCUGUACAGCCAGUCAAGGAGUUGAUGAUGAUCUCAGCUGGUAUCUACAGAAACCUGGACAGCCUCCCAAACUGCUGUUUUACCAAAUCAGCAGCCGUGAAUCUGAUACUCCGAGUCAUUUCAGCAGCAGUGGAUCUGAGCCUGAGUUCACUCUGACAAUCAAUGGAGUUCAGGCUGAUGAUGCAGGCGAUUACUACUGUAUGGGAGUGUAUGGUGGCCCAGUGUUCACACAGUGAUACAGAGUCGUACAAAAACCUCCUUCAGUUACUGUUUGCAGUGUUGCAGCUGUGAGCUUCUGAUACAGACUCUGACAUGCAUCACUGGUUCACUGAGUCCACUUUUCACUAAUAGGUCACAUUAUUAAGAAGAUGAUGUGACACUGUUUAGAAUUUGUAGCAUACUAUGCUUAUCUCACU
This is a non-coding RNA of Oreochromis niloticus (Nile tilapia), 648 nucleotides long. The record is from the annotation of a RefSeq genome assembly. NCBI's taxonomy places the organism in Eukaryota, Metazoa, Chordata, Actinopteri, Cichliformes, Cichlidae.